GAUGAACGCUGGCGGCGUGCCUAAUACAUGCAAGUCGAGCGAACGGACGAGAAGCUUGCUUCUCUGAUGUUAGCGGCGGACGGGUGAGUAACACGUGGAUAACCUACCUAUAAGACUGGGAUAACUUCGGGAAACCGGAGCUAAUACCGGAUAAUAUUUUGAACCGCAUGGUUCAAAAGUGAAAGACGGUCUUGCUGUCACUUAUAGAUGGAUCCGCGCUGCAUUAGCUAGUUGGUAAGGUAACGGCUUACCAAGGCAACGAUGCAUAGCCGACCUGAGAGGGUGAUCGGCCACACUGGAACUGAGACACGGUCCAGACUCCUACGGGAGGCAGCAGUAGGGAAUCUUCCGCAAUGGGCGAAAGCCUGACGGAGCAACGCCGCGUGAGUGAUGAAGGUCUUCGGAUCGUAAAACUCUGUUAUUAGGGAAGAACAUAUGUGUAAGUAACUGUGCACAUCUUGACGGUACCUAAACAGAAAGCCCCGGCUAACUACGUG
RNAcentral lists this ribosomal RNA (497 nucleotides) under uncultured bacterium. RNAcentral describes it as "partial 16S ribosomal RNA". It matches the Rfam family "Bacterial small subunit ribosomal RNA", at positions 28 to 507 of the family's 1533-position model. The record is from RNAcentral.